RNAcentral lists this transfer RNA (76 nucleotides) under bacterium. RNAcentral's name for it is "tRNA-Thr". The record is from RNAcentral.
ACCGCUCUCGAUAGUUUUUUCUGUGUUAUCAUUCGUAAUGAUGGGGUCACAGGUUCGAGUCCUGUAAGCGGCACCA